This 249-nucleotide ribosomal RNA is filed under the name uncultured bacterium. Its description in RNAcentral is "partial 16S ribosomal RNA". It matches the Rfam family "Bacterial small subunit ribosomal RNA", at positions 523 to 769 of the family's 1533-position model. The record is from RNAcentral.
AUACGUAGGGUCCAAGCGUUAAUCGGAAUUACUGGGCGUAAAGCGUCCGCAGGUGGCUUGAUAAGAUAGACGUGAAAUCCCGUGGGCUCAACCUAGGAAUUGCGUAUAUGACUGUCUCGCUAGAGUAGUGGGAGAGGGGGGUGGAAUUCCGCGUGUAGCAGUGAAAUGCGUAGAGAUGCGGAGGAACACCGAUGGCGAAGGCAACCCCCUGGCUUAAUACUGACACUCAUGGACGAAAGCGUGGGGAGC